CUCUCCUACGAGAUUACGAUAAAGGAUCUUCAUAAUGACCUAAACUCGUUGAAGGAGGCAAAGGAGAAGCUUGAAAAUGAUGUAGGGUUCCACGUAGAAGAAAAGGAAGCUCUUCGGAAAGACCUUAGUUGGCACAAAGAAGAAAUCAACAGAUUAAAUGAACACAAUCUCUCCUCCGAGCUUGUGAUAAAGGAUCUUCAUAAUGAUCUAAACUCGUUGAAGGAGGCGAAGGAGAAGCUUGAAAAUGAUGUAGGGUUCCAUGUUGAAGAAAAAGAAACUCUUCACAAUGACCUUAGUCGGCACAAAGAAGAAAUCGACAGAUUAAAUGAACAGAACCUCUCCUCCGAGCUUAUGAUAAAGGGUCUUCAUAAUGACGUAAACUCGUUGAAGGAGGCAAAGGAAAAGCUUGAAAAUGAUGUACGGUUUCAUGUAGAAGAAAAGGAACCUCUUUGGAAAGACCUUAGUUGGCACAAAGAAGAAAUCAACAGAUUAAAUAAACACAAUCUCUCCUCCGAGCUUAUGAUAAAGGAUCUUCAUAAUGACCUAAACUCGUUGAUGGAGGCAAAGGAGAAACUUGAAAAUGAUGUAGGGUUCCAUGUUGAAGAAAAAGAAACUCUUCAGAAAGAC
Molecule: long non-coding RNA, 627 nt
Filed under: Ananas comosus (pineapple)
Lineage: Eukaryota; Viridiplantae; Streptophyta; Magnoliopsida; Poales; Bromeliaceae
Description: long non-coding RNA (ACOM_LNC022691)
Source: RNAcentral